Molecule: ribosomal RNA, 468 nt
Filed under: uncultured bacterium
Lineage: Bacteria
Description: partial 16S ribosomal RNA
Rfam family: Bacterial small subunit ribosomal RNA
Source: RNAcentral
GACGAACGCUGGCGGCGUGCUUAACACAUGCAAGUCGAACGGAAAGGCCCUGCUUUUGUGGGGUGCUCGAGUGGCGAACGGGUGAGUAACACGUGAGUAACCUGCCCUUGACUUUGGGAUAACUUCAGGAAACUGGGGCUAAUACCGGAUAGGAGCUCCUGCUGCACAGUGGGGGUUGGAAAGUUUCGGCGGUUGGGGAUGGACUCGCGGCUUAUCAGCUUGUUGGUGGGGUAGUGGCUUACCAAGGCUUUGACGGGUAGCCGGCCUGAGAGGGUGACCGGCCACAUUGGUCCUGAGAUACGGCCCAGACUCCUACGGGAGGCAGCAGUGGGGAAUAUUGCACAAUGGGCGGAAGCCUGAUGCAGCAGCGCCGCGUGCGGGAUGACGUCCUUCGGGUUGUAAACCGCUUUCGCCUGUGGCGAAGCGUGAGUGACGGUAAUGGGUAAAGAAGCACCGGCUAACUACGUG